This 460-nucleotide ribosomal RNA is filed under the name uncultured bacterium. RNAcentral describes it as "partial 16S ribosomal RNA". It matches the Rfam family "Bacterial small subunit ribosomal RNA", at positions 338 to 795 of the family's 1533-position model. The record is from RNAcentral.
CCUACGGGAGGCAGCAGUGAGGAAUAUUGGUCAAUGGCCGAUAGCCUGAACCAGCCAAGUCGCGUGAGGGAUGACGGCCCUACGGGUUGUAAACUUCUUCUGUAGGGGAGUAAAGUGACUCAUGUAUUCCGCAUUGAAUGUACCCUAUGAAAAAGGAUCGGGUAACUCCGUGCCAGCCGCCGCGGUAAUACGGAGGAUGCGAGCGUUGAUCGGAUUUAUUGGGGUUAAAGGGAUCGUAGGCGGGAUGUUAAGUCAGUCGUUAAAUUGUCGGGCUCAACCCCCGAACUGCCGUUGAAACUGGCACCCUUGAGUGCGCGAGAGGUAGGCGGAAUGCGUGGUGUAGCGGUGAAAUGCAUAGAUAUCACGCAGAACUCCGAUUGCGAAGGCAGCAUACUGGCGCGUAACUGACGCUCAUGCACGAAAGCGUGGGUAUCGAACAGGAUUAGAUACCCGAGUAGUC